GACGAACGCUGGCGGCGUGCUUAACACAUGCAAGUCGAACGGAAAGGCCCUGCUUUUGUGGGGUGCUCGAGUGGCGAACGGGUGAGUAACACGUGAGUAACCUGCCCUUGACUUUGGGAUAACUUCAGGAAACUGGGGCUAAUACCGGAUAGGAGCUCCUGCUGCAUGGUGGGGGUUGGAAAGUUUCGGCGGUUGGGGAUGGACUCGCGGCUUAUCAGCUUGUUGGUGGGGUAGUGGCUUACCAAGGCUUUGACGGGUAGCCGGCCUGAGAGGGUGACCGGCCACAUUGGGACUGAGAUACGGCCCAGACUCCUACGGGAGGCAGAAGUGGGGAAUAUUGCACAAUGGGCGGAAGCCUGAUGCAGCCACGCCGCGUGCGGGAUGACGGCCUUCGGGUUGUAAACCGCUUUCGCCUGUGACGAAGCGUGAGUGACGGUAAUGGGUAAAGAAGCACCGGCUAACUACGUG
Molecule: ribosomal RNA, 468 nt
Filed under: uncultured bacterium
Lineage: Bacteria
Description: partial 16S ribosomal RNA
Rfam family: Bacterial small subunit ribosomal RNA
Source: RNAcentral